AGAAUCAACGCUGGCGGCGUGCCUAACACAUGCAAGUCGCACGAGAAAGGGACUUCGGUCCUGAGUACAGUGGCGCACGGGUGAGUAACACGUGAAUAAUCUACCUCCGAGUGGGGAAUAACUGAGAGAAAUCUUAGCUAAUACCGCAUAACACUUACGAGUCAAAGCAGCAAUGCGCUUGGAGAGGAGUUCGCGGCAGAUUAGUUAGUUGGCGGGGUAAUGGCCCACCAAGACGAUGAUCUGUAUCCGGCCUGAGAGGGCGCACGGACACACUGGAACUGAAACACGGUCCAGACUCCUACGGGAGGCAGCAGUGGGGAAUUUUUGCGCAAUGGGGGAAACCCUGACGCAGCAACGCCGCGUGGAGGAUGAAAUAUCUUGGUAUGUAAACUCCUUUCGAUGGGGAAGAUAAUGACGGUACCCAUAGAAGAAGCCCGGCUAACUUCGCGCCAGCAGCCGC
This 460-nucleotide ribosomal RNA is filed under the name uncultured bacterium. Its description in RNAcentral is "SSU rRNA". It matches the Rfam family "Bacterial small subunit ribosomal RNA", at positions 26 to 518 of the family's 1533-position model. The record is from RNAcentral.